RNAcentral lists this ribosomal RNA (905 nucleotides) under Ophiocreas oedipus. RNAcentral's name for it is "12S ribosomal RNA". The record is from RNAcentral. Lineage: Eukaryota; Metazoa; Echinodermata; Ophiuroidea; Euryalida; Asteroschematidae.
GAGUUUAUUAAGAACUUGGUUCUGAUUUUUAUUGUUGGGUAAGGAAAGGGUUAUAUAUGCAAACUUUAUUGGUGGAACGGUGAGGAAGUGUAAGCGGAUUGGAUUUUUUUUUGAGAAAAAAAUUUUAUUUGGUACAUAAGUUUUAACUAUUAUUUUAUAAAAGGGAGAUAGCUAUUAAAUAACUUCACAUCUGCAGUAAUAGAUACUUAAACUAUAACUGGGAGGUUGAUUAGGCUAGAUUUUCUUAGAGGUGGCGAAGAUAUCGUGCCAGCAGCCGCGGUUAAACGAACAGCCUCUUCCUAAUAUAGUAAGCAGCUUAAUAUAAGAAAAUAAAAGUAAAGAAUUGAUGAAUAAGUGGAAAAUUUUAGGAGUAGAAACCUAAUUUUCUUUGAGUUUUCAGGAAAAAAGUUGGGAUUAUUAAGAUAAAGAGGAAGACCUGGAUUAGAUACCCAGUUAUUCUUUAUAAAAAGUUUAUAUGCUGGUGGAGUACGGGGGUUUCUCUGAGAAACAAAGAACUUGGCGGUUAUUUAUUUCUGAUUAGGGGAGCUUGCUUGAAGAAAAUGAUAAUCCACGUUAAACCUUACCUAUUUUUGUAUAAUCAGCUUCUAUAUCAUCGUCAUUAAGUUUUCACUGAGAGUUAGAAGACUAAAUAGCUAAAAUAGGGCAAGAUGUCAGAUCUAGAUGGAGCUUAUAAAUAGGGUAGAGUGGGCUACAGUAGAAUUAUAUUUAGUAACUUGGAUUGGAUAUUUGAAAUAUACUCAUAAAAAAGGACUUAAUAGUAAUAAAUAAUAGGAGACAGAUUUUAUGAAAUUAGCUCUAAAUUUCGUACACAUCGCCCGUCACCUGCGGGAUUAAACCCGGAGUAAGUCGUAACAAAGUAGGUGUACCGGAAGGUGUGACCUGGG